ACAAAGUUUGAGUGCUUGUCUGAAUGUUUUCCCAUCAGUAAGACUCGUCUGAUCCUUACAUUGAGCAAAAAUGGCACUCUGGAUAAACCUCAUAUUGUUAUUAGUAGCCCUCAGAGGUGUCCAGUCAGAGGUCCAGCUGGUGGAGUCUGGAGGGGAUGUGAGAAGACCUGGUGAUUCCCUCCGUCUCUCCUGCCAAGGCUCCGGAUUCACCUUCAGCAGCUACUGGAUGUCCUGGGUGAGGCAGUAUCCGGGGAAAGGACUGGAAUGGGUUGCACAGAUAAGUCACACUGGAAGUACUAUUCGCUACUCUGACAAAGUGAAAGGACGCUUCUCCAUCUCCAGGGACAAUGCCAAAAGCCAGCUGUAUCUGCAAAUGAACAACCUCAAGGUGGAGGACACAGGACGCUAUUACUGUGCGAGAGACACAGGAGACUAA
Python bivittatus (Burmese python) is the source of this 436-nucleotide non-coding RNA. NCBI's taxonomy places the organism in Eukaryota, Metazoa, Chordata, Lepidosauria, Squamata, Pythonidae. The record is from the annotation of a RefSeq genome assembly.